This is a non-coding RNA of Drosophila melanogaster (fruit fly), 4516 nucleotides long. The record is from Ensembl. Lineage: Eukaryota; Metazoa; Arthropoda; Insecta; Diptera; Drosophilidae.
GGUGUGAUUUCCCUUCAAUAUAUAAUGAGUGCAUCAGUUGGCGAGUGGAGCACAGAGAAACCGAAGAAAAGGAAACCGCACCCGACCAACUCUGCACUCUGCAGUCUGCACUUGUUAAUGACCUCUUUGUGUCGGGCAUCGAAAUGCAUUUCCUGGCCGGGCCACAUGGCACGAAAGUGUGCAAUAAAACUUCCACUAAUUGCAGGACAUAACCGCAACGAGGUUGCAGCCACACACACACCACUACACCACACAAAGUGCCGAAAGUUGCACGAAGUUUAUUGCAUUUAAAGGAGCACAAAGGAUAACAAGGAUUUGAAAUAUACAUCAAGGAACUCUCAGGAUAUUUUAAUUACAUUUAUUAGCUUAAUAUCAAUUAAUUAACUCGAGUUGCUGACACUUUAUCAUUGCCAAACGAACUUCAAGCCAUUGUUGGAAAAUGCAUUGGGGCAUUGAAAAGUAAGCCUAAUAAUCUGCAUACAUUGAAAGUGGCAAGGAGCCGGCAAUGAAAAGCAAUAAAAUCCCAUGUAAUAAAAGCCAUGUAUAGUACGUGUAUGACUGUGGCCAACUAAGUAUCAGCAAAUACUAUACCGCAUAUAUACAGAAUAUAUAUUCGCCGUAUGCAUUUGCAAUGAUUUGUGUGCUCAAAUGGCUGGAGACAUCGUCAAUGGAGCCACCAAAAGCUGACUCAGAGCCAGCAACAAUUUAGCAUUUUGCAUCCGCUUUCGAUUCGAAUUGUGGCUGCUGGUGAUGCUGAUGCUGCUGAUGGCGCCAGGCCAGAAAUCCAUUGAUGGCAUCCACACCAACCAAACAUUCUAGCCCCUUGUGAGCCACACAUCCUUACUUUAUGGCUUCUAAGUAGUUCAACGCCAGGGAAUCCCAGCUUGAAUUUCAGCCACUGCGAAAAGAAAGUGGCAAGCGGUUUGGCCUUUGAAUCACGUAGCCAAAAGCCCUGGCAAUGGGCAGCAUCGCUUUUAUUAUAGUUUUCUUCGCAAAACUCGUGAUAAAUGAAAGGCAGUGGCAAACAGAUGUUUGUGAUAACUACUCACACCCAGAUUCCAGGACUCGGACUUCGACUUCGAGUGUAAGUUUAUGAAAAAUGAGCCCAGAUGAUUAUACAAUGGCAGCUGCAAUGUGUUGGGGCAGCAAUCAAAUGUCAUCACUUACAAACUUUUGGAGGGUCACAAAGGCAAAGCGAAAUAUAAUUCAACUGAGCAUUUUUACAAUCAAAAUUGAAUUGGAUGCCGCGCUCAAAGCGAAUCACAAUGUUGAAUUGCAAAAAGAUUGAAUUUCCGCCAUUCAGUUGGCUGUAGAAAAGUAAUUUAUCACAGCGAGCAGUUGUUAAAUAAUAAUGAGUUUUAAAAAAUGCCGUUGAUGUUGAAAUGUUAAUUUGGGGAAUACAAGUUCUAUCGACUGUAGAAAUAAUUAAACUUAACUUUUGUAUAUAAAAGGUUAGUGGAAAUAUUUCAGUUUUUAAGUUUAAAGACCAAGCGUUAUAAAUAAGUGUUCUAGCUUUGUCCCUUGCCCCAUGACCCUCACUCUUUUGUUCGACUCGCCCACAAAGUGUUGGCCAGCGGGCAGGCAAUGAAUCUUCAAAGACGCUCUGCAGAACCAACCAAACCACCCACUUUGAUGGUGGCUUGUGGGUGGUGGGUGGACAAAAGGUCACGCAAUCGUGCGGCAAAAAAAAAAAAGGGCUGACAGUGUAGGGAGCGCAAGUUGGCCAAAUGUUUUUCUCUGCCCUCUUGGUUAUUACAUAUAUUUUCACUUAUAUCUGGCUGGGAAUUGGCUUGGCUCGCCACUUUGGGCCUGAAUCGGCCUAUUUGGGGAAAGGGCUCCAGUGCUCGACUCAACUGAGCAAUGAAGGCCAGCGCAAUUACCGAAGUGGAUAAUUAGAGUUUGAAGAUGAGGCUAUGAGGGCUGCUUAAAGCAUGUGACUGAAUAAAUAUUUAAGCCCGUAUAAAUUGCAAAUAUUAUUGCCCACGAAUGCCCAUGGUUAUGAUGUGGUGACUUUGGCAAAUAAUAAUGUGGAAUAAAAGCGUGCAGCUUUGGAAAAAUUAAUUUUUAGUCAUGCAGAAGAGCAGCAGUUCAUGUUUAUUUAUGCACACAUCAGCUGUUAAAAUUCAUUUAAGGCCAAAUGGCAUUUUAUCUGCGCACACACAAAGCACCCCAAUGUUUUGGAAUUUAAAAUUUAAUUAAAAUCUCAUGCGAAAAAUGACACAAUCCAGGCCGAAUACAUUGUUGGAAACAAAGGGAAGGACCACCAACAAGGACCAGCUCAUCCAAAGGCCUAAGCCAGCUGGGAUAUUUGGACGAGGGCUCAAAAACUGUCCACUUUGUGGGUCCCUCGGUGAAUUAAAAAUUUACACCAAUGAAAAGCUUUUUAAACGUGAUUAAUUUGAUAUUCUUUACAUUCUUACUUGUUUUAAGAAGCAGCUGAGGGGCGUGGAAAUAAUAUUAUUUUCAGUAUCUUGCAGUUUCUAACUUGUAUACACAUUUCUAUUCUUUCUUAUCAUAGAUUUAGCGGAAAAUAAUUCGUAUAAUGAGUGUCAUAAAUUCAUCCGAAGCUGUAAUUAACACAUAAUCAUCAUUUUAAUUGAGCUAAUUGAUUAAUGGCAAUCGAGCGUUUGUGUGUUCCAUGAAAUGUUGCAAAUGUUGAUGCUAACGACUAAGUUAAUUAUUGUGACAAUUUAUUAGUUAUUCAAAUUAAAGCUAUUAAAUUUUGAAUAUGAAGAUGAAUUUAAUUAACAAAUUUGUCGAAAGAAUAACUGCCCGUUUGUAUGCAUUAAUUAGGUUAAACAGUCAUAGAAGCUAUAUGCUGAUAUGUUUUUAUAUAUUUUUUUAUUUUAUUGACAUUAUUAUUAAUUUGUAAAUAUUACUUGUAAAAUUACGUUGUAAAUAUAUAAUUUCCGGAAAAUUGGAAACAAAAUCGUAAGGUCAUUAGUUUGCUUAAAAAUAAAUUAAAUUACUUAUGAUGUAUGUAUCAAUACUUUUUAAAUAGUCAUAAUAACUUUAGAACUUUAAGCAAGGCAUGCAAAUUAGCUUUUAAGGCCCAAGUUUGCCUCGCCAAGGGGGAUCUCUACGAGAAUCUCAACUGAAAGCGAGUGAGUAUAUUCAUCUAAAAUAUCUUACAUUUUAUUCAAGCCUCAGAUUAGCGGCCCCGCAUGCUUCUUUUGGCCCUUCAGAACCCUGCGAUUAUGCGGCAUCGCGUAGUACAACUUGCUCCAGAAGAGCGGAUCACCCCACUUGAGGUAGGUGUUCAGCUUGAGAUAGGCUCGCAGUUCGCUAUCGAUGCCGUUCAUGUGCUCCAGUUCCCGGUAGAGGAUUAUGAUGAUUCGCUUCCGUUUGUCCUGCAAUGUGGCCUGAUAGGCGAUCCGGAACUCCAUGCGGGCCCACACCGAAUCGAUGAAGUGCUGCGACAGUACAAUAAUCACCCGCUUCGAGUCGUCUACGGUGCGAACGAUUUGCUCCGGAAUACAGUCGCCCACCAGCCAGUCCCGAUCGUGCAGACACAGCCGGAAGGGAUGCGGACCACUCUCUAGUUUGGGCAAGAGCUUGCUGAUCAGCUCCUCAUCUUUGUGCGAGUACGAGAUGAAGGCAUCGUAGGUCUUGUCCUUGUCCAGUUCCUCCUCGGAGACCCACCACAGGCAAAGAUUGUUGUUGUACAGCCAAAUCUUCAGCUCCUGCUGGAACAUUAGGUAGAACACGGUGAGCAGACAGAUGACGAUCACCAGGCCACCGACCACACAGCUGAUGAGUAGGACAUACGAUGGACACAGCUCAAAGGCCUCCAUCUGCUGGAAGGACUUUUUCUGCUUGGUGCACACAAUAUCGGCGAUGUCCCGUACCCGCUGCGGAUUGGUCCGCACAAAGAAGAGAAGCGACAAGGAUUCGCAGCCACAGGUGAUGGGGUUUCCCGACAACGAUAGCGUCAUAGUGUUGUUCGGCUCCUGAAGAAACAAUAGGAACUCAUCGCUGAGUGACUGAAUCUGAUUGCCUCGCACAUCCAGGUGGGUGAGAUUAUCGGGCAGCUGGUCACCGCUUCCAAGGCUGGUCAGGUUAUUGUCCGACAGAAAGAGUCCACUCACAUUGGCAUAACCACUGUGUUCGCUCACAGUGGGUAGACUGGUGAGGCUAUUGUUGCCCACCUUGAGCACCGUGCUCAGUAACGUGGUGCGGGGCAAAUCCGGAAGUUCCUCGAGACUCGUUCCGCGGCAAUCCACGAUCAGACUACCUACACUCCGCUGCACCCAGCAGAUGCAUCGGGGAUCGCACUGCCACUCCGCCGACUUGUACUGGCACGCCUCGUCAUUGGUGCACACCACAGCCUCGUAGUUCAUCAGGAGCGUGGCCCCAUAGAACUGGGUGUUCACCAUCUCGAUGUAGUUCAGACUGACCACAUCUUGGAACACACUCGGCGACAUCGCGGUCAGCGAGUUCUUGUUCAGACGCAAAACGUUCAGCGAAGUCAAUGGUGCGAAAAUUGUGCUGCAGGAGGAGGAGAUCUCAGAGGGAU